UACGGAAGGCAGCAGUGGGGAAUAUUGCACAAUGGGCGCAAGCCUGAUGCAGCCAUGCCGCGUGUAUGAAGAAGGGCCUUCGGGUUGUAAAGUACUUUCAGUCGUGAGGAAGGUGUUAAGGUUAAUAACCUUAGCAAUUGACGUUAGCGACAGAAGAAGCACCGGCUAACUCCGUGCCAGCAGCCGCGGUAAUACGGAGGGUGCGAGCGUUAAUCGGAAUUACUGGGCGUAAAGGGCACGCAGGCGGUUAAUUAAGUUGGAUGUGAAAUCCCCGGGCUUAACCUGGGAAUGGCAUUCAAGACUGGUUAGCUAGAGUCUUGUAGAGGGGGUAGAAUUCCAUGUGUAGCGGUGAAAUGCGUAGAGAUGUGGAGGAAUACCGGGUGGCGAAGGCGGCCCCUGGGACAAAGGCUGACGCUCAUGUGCGAAAGCGUGGGGAGCAAACGAGGAUUAGAUACC
This 456-nucleotide ribosomal RNA is filed under the name uncultured bacterium. RNAcentral describes it as "bacterial SSU rRNA". It matches the Rfam family "Bacterial small subunit ribosomal RNA", at positions 340 to 786 of the family's 1533-position model. The record is from RNAcentral.